RNAcentral lists this ribozyme (71 nucleotides) under Chelonoidis abingdonii (Abingdon island giant tortoise). RNAcentral's name for it is "Mammalian CPEB3 ribozyme (ENSCABG00000005688.1)". It matches the Rfam family "Mammalian CPEB3 ribozyme". Rfam says of the family: The mammalian CPEB3 ribozyme is a self cleaving RNA located in the second intron of the CPEB3 gene which belongs to a family of genes regulating messenger RNA polyadenylation. This ribozyme is highly conserved and found only in mammals. Lineage: Eukaryota; Metazoa; Chordata; Testudines; Testudinidae. The record is from Rfam by way of RNAcentral.
AUUGGAUAUCUGGGAUGAAAGGUGUGCACAUCACGGCCCAUGUCAGACUGUCUCAGUCUGCAAAUCCUGCU